GAUGAACGCUGGCGGCGUGCCUAAUACAUGCAAGUCGAACGCUGGAAAUCUAGCUUGCUAGCUUGAAGGAGUGGCGAACGGGUGAGUAAUACAUAAGCAACCUACCCACGAAGACUGGGAUAAUCUCUGGAAACGGGGACUAAUACCGGAUAGGUAAUCGGAAGGCAUCUUCUGAUUAUUAAAGGUUAAAAACACUGGUGGAUGGGCUUAUGGCGCAUUAGUUAGUUGGUGAGGUAACGGCCCACCAAGACGAUGAUGCGUAGCCGGCCUGAGAGGGUGAACGGGCACAUUGGGACUGAGACACGGCCCAGACUCCUACGGGAGGCAGCAGUAGGGAAUUUUCGGCAAUGGGGGAAACCCUGACCGAGCAACGCCGCGUGAGUGAUGACGGCCUUCGGGUUGUAAAGCUCUGUUGUAAGGGAAGAACGGUAGAUAGAGAAUAUCUAAAUGACGGUACCUUACCAGAAAGCCACGGCUAACUACGUG
RNAcentral lists this ribosomal RNA (486 nucleotides) under uncultured bacterium. RNAcentral describes it as "partial 16S ribosomal RNA". It matches the Rfam family "Bacterial small subunit ribosomal RNA", at positions 28 to 507 of the family's 1533-position model. The record is from RNAcentral.